UAGGGAAUCUUCGGCAAUGGACGGAAGUCUGACCGAGCAACGCCGCGUGAGUGAAGAAGGUUUUCGGAUCGUAAAGCUCUGUUGUAAGAGAAGAACGAGUGUGAGAGUGGAAAGUUCACACUGUGACGGUAACUUACCAGAAAGGGGCGGCUAACUACGUGCCAGCAGCCGCGGUAAUACGUAGGUCCCGAGCGUUAUCCGGAUUUAUUGGGCGUAAAGCGAGCGCAGGCGGUUAGAUAAGUCUGAAGUUAAAGGCUGUGGCUUAACCAUAGUACGCUUUGGAAACUGUUUAACUUGAGUGCAGAAGGGGAGAGUGGAAUUCCAUGUGUAGCGGUGAAAUGCGUAGAUAUAUGGAGGAACACCGGUGGCGAAAGCGGCUCUCUGGUCUGUAACUGACGCUGAGGCUCGAAAGCGUGGGGAGCAAACAGGAUUAGAUACCCUGGUAGUCCACGCCGUAAACGAUGAGUGCUAGGUGUUGGGUCCUUUCCGGGACUCAGUGCCGCAGCUAACGCAUUAAGCACUCCGCCUGGGGAGUACGACCGCAAGGUUG
RNAcentral lists this ribosomal RNA (550 nucleotides) under uncultured bacterium. Its description in RNAcentral is "bacterial SSU rRNA". It matches the Rfam family "Bacterial small subunit ribosomal RNA", at positions 355 to 896 of the family's 1533-position model. The record is from RNAcentral.